CUCUUUCACGUGGAAUUCCAAUAAAAUUGAUUCAUGUUUGUGGCUGUAAUGUGACAAAAUGUGGAAAAGUUCAAGGGGGCCGAAUACUUUUGCAAGCCACUGUAGCUAUAUCUGUCACUUCUUCCUCUACUUGUCCACCACUGCUAUAUAUAUGCCAGUUUUCUUAGCUGUGUCUUAGCUUAGUGAUUAUCAAUUCAAGAAGACUCCUCAAGAUUUGGUAGAACAGAUUUAACAAGAUUUGUCAAGUUGUGAAAGCGCUUGCUCAUAGGGGGUCAUCUAAUUGUUGGAGCGUUUUCCGUUUUCUCUGUAUUAUUGUAGUCUUUAACUUACAGUUUAAAGCACCUUGAGGCAACUGUUGUUGUGAUUUGGCGCAGUAUAAAUACAAUUAAAGUUAUUUGAACUUGCCUUACUCUCUGCAGGUGUUGAUCAAAGGCUUAUUUGACUACCAAAGGUUUUGCUUAAUUGUCUUGCUAACAAACUGUAUUUGUGCUCUUGUCUCCCUCAAAGAUCGCCAUCAGCAUAAGGGGUCCUCAUCCAUCGUGCAGAAAAUAAAAAAAAAAUUCAAUUACUACAGUUCUAUGCUUUACUUAAUAAUUAAUCGCCCAUCCCAUCACACUAUGAAUAUUUACAUGCAAAGCGUCCCUGGGAGCCAUCCAUAUGCCAGAGGGAGGGAAGUCUGUGUGUUUAUAGCAUUAAACGCUCAAAUAUCGUCACAAACCCCAUUUCGCCUCCAACCAUGAAAAACACUCACUAAAGCAUUGCAAGCAUUUUAUUUGGUGUUGCACAAUGUAACCUAUUCAAGUCCCAUUUAGACGUGGAGAGUCAGACUACAGGUACUCUCUCUAUGCUGAGCAGGAAAAUGCAGGUGGAUGCCCCACUGGUUGCUUGGAUCACUGACUAUUUAACAAGUCGACCACAGCAUGUUCGGCUGAAGAGCUGCCGCUCGGAUAACAGGGGCGCCGCAGGUGACUGUCCUAUUACCCUUCCUCUUCACCCUCUACACAUCUGACUUCAGGUACAAGUCUCAGUGAUGUCAUCUGCAGAAAUUCUCUGAUGACUCUGCCAUUGUGGGCUGUAUCAGGGAUGGACAGGAGGAGUGCAGGAGUGUGGUGGACAGCUUUGUUGAGUGGUGUGAGUUAAACCAUCUAGAGCUUAACAUCACAAAGACAAAGGAACUGAUCAUGGACUUCAGGAAGCAUGCUUCUCCUCCUACCCCUGUCACCAUCAGAGGGGCUGAUGUGGAGCUUUAUUCAAGGUGGAGAUGGUGAGGACAGGAACUAAGAAAUAACUAAACUGGGAAAACCUAAAUACAUGAAAUUAAAACCAAAACUCACAGAGUGACAUGCAAAGGAACACAGGUAGGACCACAGCGGAGACUCUGGGAAGACAUCACAGACAAAUCAGCAACAGGCAGGAGAACACACAGGGCUUAAAUACACACACAGGAGUAAUCAUGGGUUGGGAGACAGGAGGGAGAAGUCAGGGCCGACGAGACACAGACGUAAAGCUGAGAACACUCACAUGAGACGGAGACCUUAAGAAUAAAACAGGAAAUACAACAGGUUUGCACAGACAUGAACUUAACACAAGACAUGGCGACAGGGAGGGAACAUAAAGACGUGGGACCAGGGCAGGCACAGGGACACAGAACAAAAGGAGCUUGAAAUACAAAACAGAAACAAAACCUGAGAACAAGAAAUUCCCAACAAGAAUGAACCUAAAACAUAAGAUAAUAAUCAAAACCUAAAAGUCCACCACUGGGUCCACAGACUCAGGACCACGACAACUGCUGUCUUCAAAAAAGGGCAGAGUUGGCUUUUCCUAAUGAGGUGGCUCAGGUUCUUCAAUGUUGGUAGGAAAAUGCUGACCAUGUUCUAUCACGCUGUGGUAGAAAGCGUUCUUUGCAGCUGUGUGCUGGGGCAGUGGGGUGAAGACAGCUGAUGCCAACAGGCUGAACAAGCUGAUCUAAAAGGCUGGUUCUAUCCUGGGUGUCAGACUGGAGAACCUGGAGGUGUCCGAGAGGAGAAUGCUAAAGAAGCUUCUUUGUGUUAUGGACAACCUCUGCCAUCCCAUGCAUGCCUCCGUGAUGGACCAUCGGAGCACACGCAGCAAAAGACUAAUCGCCCCGAAAUGCAGAACUGACCGCCACAGGAAAUCCUUCAUGCCAGUGGCAAUAAGACUGUACAACUCUUCCUCGCUCUGUAGGGGAUUUUCCUGAGGAUUACUACCAACGUUAUUCUGUUCCCAUUUAGACCGUGCAAUAUCACCCAACAGUAUUUUAUUGAAUGUUUGUUUCAUCUCCCCAUCAUAUGCUGCUACUCUCUUUUAUUUAGUUGCAUAAUACUAUGUCACUUUUUAGAGUCACCUGCACUGAUAGUUAAGUUAUUUUAUUUUUCAGGAUAUAGUUACAUUGUUACUUCGUUGGGGUUAUUUGAUAUUAUAUUUUGUACUAUCCUACUGCAUAUUACUGUAUGCACUAUUCCUAUUGUAUAUAAUAUAUAUCUUAUUCCUCUGUCUCUAUUGCUGCAUUGAGCAUGUGUAUGACAAAAGACUUUCCCUUGGGACCGAGUAUAGGAAGAAGAAAAUAAAGUUGAUGUUAUUGAA
Molecule: long non-coding RNA, 2604 nt
Organism: Oreochromis niloticus (Nile tilapia)
Lineage: Eukaryota; Metazoa; Chordata; Actinopteri; Cichliformes; Cichlidae
Exons: 2
Source: RefSeq, a predicted model, not a curated record